This 210-nucleotide long non-coding RNA is filed under the name Zonotrichia albicollis (white-throated sparrow). Its description in RNAcentral is "lncRNA (ENSZALG00000010083.1)". The record is from RNAcentral. Lineage: Eukaryota; Metazoa; Chordata; Aves; Passeriformes; Passerellidae.
AAGCUAUCCACCGUGGAUUGAAAAGCUGAAACAUCAGGUGACAUGUUUUCACUUCAACAGUCUGCUGGCCAGUUUCUAAGUUAAGCACAGGGAAGAGAAUGAAAAAAAGAAUCAAAGGAAUGACCCUUUGCAUCUGUUUAGCUGGCCAUGACUAGGUAUUUCUUUUAUCCAUAAAUUCCCAGGGGUCACAGCUUUUACACUAUGAGCAUC